Molecule: ribosomal RNA, 497 nt
Filed under: uncultured bacterium
Lineage: Bacteria
Description: partial 16S ribosomal RNA
Rfam family: Bacterial small subunit ribosomal RNA
Source: RNAcentral
GAUGAACGCUGGCGGCGUGCCUAAUACAUGCAAGUCGAGCGAACAGACGAGGAGCUUGCUCCUCUGACGUUAGCGGCGGACGGGUGAGUAACACGUGGAUAACCUACCUAUAAGACUGGGAUAACUUCGGGAAACCGGAGCUAAUACCGGAUAAUAUAUUGAACCGCAUGGUUCAAUAGUGAAAGCCGGUUUUGCUGUCACUUAUAGAUGGAUCCGCGCCGCAUUAGCUAGUUGGUAAGGUAACGGCUUACCAAGGCAACGAUGCGUAGCCGACCUGAGAGGGUGAUCAGCCACACUGGAACUGAGACACGGUCCAGACUCCUACGGGAGGCAGCAGUAGGGAAUCUUCCGCAAUGGGCGAAAGCCUGACGGAGCAACGCCGCGUGAGUGAUGAAGGUCUUCGGAUCGUAAAACUCUGUUAUUAGGGAAGAACAAAUGUGUAAGUAACUAUGCACGUCUUGACGGUACCUAAUCAGAAAGCCACGGCUAACUACGUG